AGACAGAAGUGUGAAACAACAAUCUCAAGGUAGGUCCAACAUUUUCUUGAUAUGUCUUUAGUGACCUCUUUCCAGGUUUGAAAGGGAUUAACCUUGUGAAGAUCUCUGCCGUUGUCCCAUUCUUUGAAGACGGGUGAAAGAGAAUCAUUACAUUUAUCAUUUGUCAAGUUCAAGAAAGCGAAUCAGAACAAAAAGUCUCAUGAGAGGAGUCAGAGAGAGAGAGAGAGGAAUUUCAUGGAAACAGCUUAGUUCCUCUGAUGGAAGGAAACACUGAAUGUACAAAAUGGGAAAGAAGAAAAGAUAAAUAAGGGAAACGGAAAGGAAAGAAAGGUCCUGCCACUCAGACCAGUCACAGAACUUGGGAUAAAUUAUGUGAAGGAUAUAUGGAUUACCAGGAAAUAAAGAAUUUAUACUCCAUCCACUCUGCACACAAAAUAUAUGGUAAGGUUGGAAGCGGAAAGGUAAGAAACAGCCUUCCAUUCUAGAACAGCAAGUCUGACAUUUUAAAAAGAGAUGGGAACAAGCAAUUCAGCAGAUGAGAUAAAGUAUUUCAGUAUCUCCAAUUCCCAAAGUCCAUCCCCUAGAUUUCAAGCUUCAAAACCCAGCAAACAUAUAACAAAAUUGUGAUAUAAGGUAAAGAACAAGACUU
Sceloporus undulatus (fence lizard) is the source of this 649-nucleotide long non-coding RNA. RefSeq lists it as uncharacterized. The record is from RefSeq and is a predicted model, not a curated record. The transcript has 3 exons. Lineage: Eukaryota; Metazoa; Chordata; Lepidosauria; Squamata; Phrynosomatidae.